CACUUCGGUCCGGAGUUGAUGGGUUAUCUAUUAAAUGAUUCUUCUCCUGCUUCCAAUUCCCCGCCUAACCCCAUCAACACCAAUUUGACCGUUGU
Caenorhabditis tropicalis is the source of this 95-nucleotide non-coding RNA. The record is from Rfam. NCBI's taxonomy places the organism in Eukaryota, Metazoa, Nematoda, Chromadorea, Rhabditida, Rhabditidae.